RNAcentral lists this ribosomal RNA (432 nucleotides) under uncultured bacterium. RNAcentral's name for it is "partial 16S ribosomal RNA". It matches the Rfam family "Bacterial small subunit ribosomal RNA", at positions 29 to 507 of the family's 1533-position model. The record is from RNAcentral.
AACGAACGCUGGCGGCAUGCCUAACACAUGCAAGUCGAACGAGACCUUCGGGUCUAGUGGCGCACGGGUGCGUAACGCGUGGGAACCUGCCCUUAGGUUCGGAAUAACUCCCCGAAAGGGGUGCUAAUACCGGGUAAUGUCCUCGGACCAAAGAUUUAUCGCCUUUGGGUGGGCCCGCGUUGUAUUAGCUAGUUGGUAGGGUAAAAGCCUACCAAGGCGACGAUCCAUAGCUGGUCUGAGAGGAUGAUCAGCCACACUGGGACUGGGACACGGCCCAGACCCUACGGGAGGCAGCAGUGGGGAAUAUUGGACAAUGGGCGAAAGCCUGAUCCAGCAAUGCCGCGUGAGUGAUGAAGGCCUUAGGGUUGUAAAGCUCUUUUACCCGGGAUGAUAAUGACAGUACCGGGAGAAUAAGCUCCGGCUAACUCCGUG